CGGGUUGUAAAGCACUUUCAGUCGUGAGGAAGGUAGUGUAGUUAAUAGCUGCAUUAUUUGACGUUAGCGACAGAAGAAAGCACCGGCUAACUCCGUGCCAGCAGCCGCGGUAAUACGGAGGGUGCGAGCGUUAAUCGGAAUUACUGGGCGUAAAGCGCAUGCAGGUGGUUUGUUAAGUCAGAUGUGAAAGACCCGGGGCGUCAACCUCGGAAUAGCAUUUGUAAACUAGGCAGACUAGAGUACUGUAGAGGGGGGUAGGAAUUUCAGGUGUAGCGGUGAAAUGCGUAGAGAUCUGAAGGAAUACCGGUGGCGAAGGCGGCCCCCUCGGACAGAUACUGACACUCAGAUGCGAAAGCGUGGGGAGCAAACAGGAUUAGAUACCCUGGUAG
Molecule: ribosomal RNA, 389 nt
Filed under: uncultured bacterium
Lineage: Bacteria
Description: bacterial SSU rRNA
Rfam family: Bacterial small subunit ribosomal RNA
Source: RNAcentral